This 468-nucleotide ribosomal RNA is filed under the name uncultured bacterium. Its description in RNAcentral is "partial 16S ribosomal RNA". It matches the Rfam family "Bacterial small subunit ribosomal RNA", at positions 28 to 507 of the family's 1533-position model. The record is from RNAcentral.
GACGAACGCUGGCGGCGUGCUUAAUACAUGCAAGUCGAACGGAAAGGCCCUGCUCUUGUGGGGUGCUCGAGUGGCGAACGGGUGAGUAACACGUGAGUAAACUGCACUUGACUUUGGGAUAACUCCAGGAAACUGGGGCUAAUACCGGAUAGGAGCUCCUGCUCCAUGGUGGGGGUUGGAAAGUUUCGGCGGUGGGGGAUGGUCUAGAUGCUUAUCAGCUUGUUUGUGGGGUAGUGGCUUACCAAGGGUUCGACGGGUAGCCGGCCUGAGAGGGUGACCGGGCACAUUGGGACUGAGGGACGGCCCAGACGCCUACGGGAGGCAGCAGGGGGGAAUAUUGCACAAUGGGCGGAAGCCUGAUGCAGCAACGCCGCGUUCGGGAUGACGGCUUUCGAGUUGUAAACCGCUUUGGCCGGUGACGAAGCGUGAGUGACGGUAAUGGGUCAAGAAGCACCGGCUAACUACGUG